RNAcentral lists this ribosomal RNA (1459 nucleotides) under uncultured bacterium. Its description in RNAcentral is "16S ribosomal RNA". It matches the Rfam family "Bacterial small subunit ribosomal RNA". The record is from RNAcentral.
AGAGUUUGAUCCUGGCUCAGGAUGAACGCUGGCGGCGUGCUUAAUACAUGCAAGUCGAACGGAGUAUGUAGCAAUACGUACUUAGUGGCGAACGGGUGAGUAACGCGUUGGUGACCUGCCUCGAGAGAGGGAUAACAGUCCGAAGGUUGCUAAUACCUCAUGUGAUCAUAGGGUUUAGAAGCCUGUGAUUAAAGGAGUAAUUCACUUCGAGAGGGACCUGCGUACCAUCAGCUAGUUGGUGAGGUAACGGCCCACCAAGGCGAUGACGGUUAGGGGACCUGAGAGGGUGGCCCCCCACAAUGGAACUGAAACACGGUCCAUACACCUACGGGUGGCAGCAGUAGGGAAUAUUAGUUAAUGUGCGAAAGCGCGAACUAGCAACGCCGCGUGUGCGAUGACGGCCUUCGGGUUGUAAAGCACUCUUCUAAGGGACGAGGAAGGACGGUACCUUAGGAAUAAGCAUCGGCUAACUACGUGCCAGCAGCCGCGGUAAAACGUAGGAUGCAAGCGUUAUCCGGAUUUACUGGGCGUAAAGCGCGUGUAGGCGGUUCGGUAAGUUGGAUGUGAAAGCUCCUGGCUUAACUGGGAGAGGUCGUUCAAUACUGCCGAGCUAGAGGAUGGUAGAGGAAGGUGGAAUUCCGAGUGUAGUGGUGAAAUGCGUAGAUAUUCGGAGGAACACCAGUGGCGAAAGCGGCCUUCUGGACCAUUUCUGACGCUCAGACGCGAAAGCUAGGGUAGCAAACGGGAUUAGAGACCCCGGUAGUCCUAGCCGUAAACGAUGUAGACUUGGCGUCGGCGGGUUUAAAUCCGUCGGUGUCGAAGCUAACGCGAUAAGUCUACCGCCUGGGGACUACGGCCGCAAGGUUAAAACUCAAAGGAAUUGACGGGGGCCCGCACAAGCAGCGGAGCGUGUGGUUUAAUUCGAUAUUACACGAAGAACCUUACCAGGGUUUGACAUGCAGGUAGUAGGGAUCUGAAAAGUGACCGACCUUCGGGGAGCUUGCACAGGUGCUGCAUGGCUGUCGUCAGCUCGUGUCGUGAGAUGUUCGGUUAAGUCCGCUAACGAGCGCAACCCUCGCUGUGUGUUAUAUGUGUCACACGGUACUGCCGGUCUUAAGCCGGAGGAAGGUGGGGAUGACGUCAAGUCAGCAUGGCCUUUAUAUCCUGGGCUACACACACGCUACAAUGGCCAGUACAAUAGGUUGCCAAGCCGCGAGGCGGAGCCAAUCCUAAAAAGCUGGUCUCAGUUCAGAUUGUAGGCUGCAACCCGCCUGCAUGAAGAUGGAGUUGCUAGUAACCGCAGGUCAGCCAUACUGCGGUGAAUACGUUCCCGGGCCUUGUACACACCGCCCGUCACGUCAUGGGAGCUGGCAACACCUGAAGCCGGUAGCUUAACCGUAAGGAGAGCGCCGUCGAAGGUGGGGUCGGUGACUGGGACGAAGUCGUAACAAGGUAGCCG